This 253-nucleotide unclassified non-coding RNA is filed under the name plant metagenome. RNAcentral's name for it is "partial contains small subunit ribosomal RNA, internal transcribed spacer 1, and 5.8S ribosomal RNA". The stretch from base 205 to 253 matches the Rfam family "5.8S ribosomal RNA", at positions 1 to 49 of the family's 154-position model. The record is from RNAcentral.
UUUCCGUAGGUGAACCUGCGGAAGGAUCAUUAUUGGAUUUUGAAACUUCAGGCUGCUGCUGGCUCUCCUCGGAGGGCAUGUGCACGCUUGUUGUCCAUUAUUUCUCCCACUGUGCACAAAUUGUAGACCUUUCAGUAGGCCUAUGUUGUUUUUCACAAUCUCUGAAUGUAAUAGAAUGGUUUUGAAUCUUGGGAAAUACAAUACAACUUUCAGCAACGGAUCUCUUGGCUCUCGCAUCGAUGAAGAACGUAGC